UUAAACUGAAGAGUUUGAUCAUGGCUCAGAUUGAACGCUGGCGGCAGGCCUAACACAUGCAAGUCGAGCGCGAAAGUUCCUUCGGGAAUGAGUAGAGCGGCGGACGGGUGA
This 111-nucleotide ribosomal RNA is filed under the name Microbulbifer donghaiensis. Its description in RNAcentral is "partial 16S rRNA. Bacterial SSU". It matches the Rfam family "Bacterial small subunit ribosomal RNA", at positions 1 to 109 of the family's 1533-position model. Lineage: Bacteria; Pseudomonadati; Pseudomonadota; Gammaproteobacteria; Cellvibrionales; Microbulbiferaceae. The record is from RNAcentral.